CGGGGCGUGAUCACUCGUGCCGUGAGGUGUUAGGUUAAGUCCUGCAACGAGCGCAACCCCUGUCACUAGUUGCCAUCAUUAAGUUGGGGACUCUAGUGAGACUGCCUACGCAAGUAGAGAGGAAGGUGGGGAUGACGUCAAAUCAUCACGGCCCUUACGCCUUGGGCCACACACGUAAUACAAUGGCCGGUACAGAGGGCAGCUACACAGCGAUGUGAUGCAAAUCUCGAAAGCCGGUCUCAGUUCGGAUUGGAGUCUGCAACUCGACUCUAUGAAGCUGGAAUCGCUAGUAAUCGCGCAUCAGCCAUGGCGCGGUGAAUACGUUCCCGGGCCUUGUACACACCGCCCGUCAAGCCAUGGAAGUCUGGGGUACCUGAAGUCGGUGACCGUAACAGGAGCUCCUAUGUCGA
Molecule: ribosomal RNA, 410 nt
Filed under: bacterium 28S121
Lineage: Bacteria
Description: bacterial SSU rRNA
Rfam family: Bacterial small subunit ribosomal RNA
Source: RNAcentral